AAUGGUACUUCUCCGAGAAAACCGGAGCCGGAUAGCGCGGAGGCGUGACCCGGUGAAGCGCGGCUUAGGCUGGGAUACGCCUUUGGCGGCUUCA
This 94-nucleotide small RNA is filed under the name unclassified sequences. Its description in RNAcentral is "dinG RNA". It matches the Rfam family "dinG RNA". The record is from Rfam by way of RNAcentral.